RNAcentral lists this ribosomal RNA (253 nucleotides) under uncultured bacterium. RNAcentral describes it as "partial 16S ribosomal RNA". It matches the Rfam family "Bacterial small subunit ribosomal RNA", at positions 524 to 776 of the family's 1533-position model. The record is from RNAcentral.
GACGAACCGUGCAAACGUUAUUCGGAAUCACUGGGCAUAAAGGGCGCGUAGGCGGCUCCAAAAGUCAGGGGUGAAAUCCGGCAGCUUAACUGUCGCAGUGCCUUUGAUACUGUGGAGCUAGAGGGAGGUAGGGGUCUGUGGAACUUCCGGUGGAGCGGUGAAAUGCGUUGAUAUCGGAAGGAACGCCGGUGGCGAAAGCGACGGACUGGAUCUCUUCUGACGCUGAGGCGCGAAAGCGUGGGGAGCGAACAGG